RNAcentral lists this ribosomal RNA (1216 nucleotides) under Yersinia nurmii. RNAcentral's name for it is "partial 23S ribosomal RNA". It matches the Rfam family "Bacterial large subunit ribosomal RNA", at positions 1 to 1257 of the family's 2925-position model. Lineage: Bacteria; Pseudomonadati; Pseudomonadota; Gammaproteobacteria; Enterobacterales; Yersiniaceae. The record is from RNAcentral.
GGUUAAGCGACUAAGCGUACACGGUGGAUGCCUAGGCAGUCAGAGGCGAUGAAGGGCGUGCUAAUCUGCGAAAAGCGUCGGUAAGCUGAUAUGAAGCGUUACAACCGACGAUACCCGAAUGGGGAAACCCAGUGCAAUACGUUGCACUAUCGUUAGAUGAAUACAUAGUCUAACGAGGCGAACCGGGGGAACUGAAACAUCUAAGUACCCCGAGGAAAAGAAAUCAACCGAGAUUCCCCUAGUAGCGGCGAGCGAACGGGGAGGAGCCCAGAGUCUGAAUCAGUUUAUGUGUUAGUGGAAGCGUCUGGAAAGUCGCACGGUACAGGGUGAUAGUCCCGUACACAAAAAUGCAUAUUCUGUGAACUCGAUGAGUAGGGCGGGACACGUGACAUCCUGUCUGAAUAUGGGGGGACCAUCCUCCAAGGCUAAAUACUCCUGACUGACCGAUAGUGAACCAGUACCGUGAGGGAAAGGCGAAAAGAACCCCGGCGAGGGGAGUGAAAUAGAACCUGAAACCGUGUACGUACAAGCAGUGGGAGCACCUUCGUGGUGUGACUGCGUACCUUUUGUAUAAUGGGUCAGCGACUUAUAUUUUGUAGCAAGGUUAACCGAAUAGGGGAGCCGUAGGGAAACCGAGUCUUAACUGGGCGUCUAGUUGCAAGGUAUAGACCCGAAACCCGGUGAUCUAGCCAUGGGCAGGUUGAAGGUUGGGUAACACUAACUGGAGGACCGAACCGACUAAUGUUGAAAAAUUAGCGGAUGACUUGUGGCUGGGGGUGAAAGGCCAAUCAAACCGGGAGAUAGCUGGUUCUCCCCGAAAGCUAUUUAGGUAGCGCCUCGUGAACUCAUCUUCGGGGGUAGAGCACUGUUUCGGCUAGGGGUCCAUCCCGGAUUACCAAACCGAUGCAAACUCCGAAUACCGAAGAAUGUUAUCACGGGAGACACACGGCGGGUGCUAACGUCCGUCGUGAAGAGGGAAACAACCCAGACCGCCAGCUAAGGUCCCAAAGUCAUGGUUAAGUGGGAAACGAUGUGGGAAGGCAUAGACAGCCAGGAUGUUGGCUUAGAAGCAGCCAUCAUUUAAAGAAAGCGUAAUAGCUCACUGGUCGAGUCGGCCUGCGCGGAAGAUGUAACGGGGCUAAACCAUGCACCGAAGCUGCGGCAGCGACGCUUAGGCGUUGUUGGGUAGGGGAGCGUUCUGUAAGCCGUUGAAGGU